RNAcentral lists this non-coding RNA (26 nucleotides) under Homo sapiens (human). The record is from RNAcentral. Lineage: Eukaryota; Metazoa; Chordata; Mammalia; Primates; Hominidae.
UUGACACUGAUGUGUUUGAGGUAAGA